RNAcentral lists this microRNA (23 nucleotides) under Sarcophilus harrisii (Tasmanian devil). RNAcentral describes it as "Sha-Mir-7363_5p* (star (passenger))". RNAcentral also lists the same sequence under 1 other name. The record is from RNAcentral. Lineage: Eukaryota; Metazoa; Chordata; Mammalia; Dasyuromorphia; Dasyuridae.
AUCACAGAUCCAUUUGGGUAUUU